GACGAUUUUCUAAUGGAGACAAAAGCGCCUGGAGAGGAGAGCACUUUUCGCCUUCAGUUGUUUGGAACUGAGGUUGGAGAGUGAGUACCUACGCCCUCAUGCUGAUGGCCUUGCUCAUAUCAGGUGUCUGAAGGAGACAGCUUCUGAAGAUCAGUGUCCUGGUGACUGAUGGAACGUCCACUGCAGGUUAAAGGCCAGCGGUCCUCCAGAGACCCCAACACUUCACAUCUUCAGUUGGAUAUGAUGCCUGACUCAAAUGAGUUCAUAUGUAUGGUAAAAGUUUCCUCAUUCACCCAUCAAGACAGCUUUGUGACAAAAGCACCAUGAGGCCCAGUCACAGAUGCCCAAGAUCAUGGUGACAGAGCUGGGAUCACCUCUGCAAAGUAAUAUAUGCAAUGUUAUCCAGAAAGAGGAGGUUUGCAAAGGAACACUGCAAUAGGAUACUGGCACCAGGUACAUCAUCCACCUUUGGGUAAGUCUUUUCCCCUGUGCUGGUUGUUUUUCAGAUAAAAUCUGUGAGAUAGAUAUAGAGGUAAAUGAGAUCCCAUUUAGGAAAGAGCCUUUCCUUUUGAGACCUUAGUUGGGAAGGAACAAGCGGUGAUUUCCAAAUAAUUACUUUCCAGUCUUCAGCUCUUAUCACACUCUGUAUCAGAUGAAGUCAGUAGUCCUCAUACUGUUUCUUAAUUCAAUGACCUCUUAUGCAUGGUCAUAGGAUGAUUGGAACUUAAAACUUGCAAAAAAGCAGGAUUCUUGACCUUAGGAAACCAUGAAGAACUCAGCUUUCCUGAAUGUCUGCUACUUUUAUCCUCAUGUAUUUUGCACAACAUUCCGGGGAGGUAAAGCAUGAUUUCCACACCAUUUUGUAGCUGGUGAAGUAGUGAUGUACAGAGAUUAGGUAACCUGGCUGGGGGUCAUCCUGCUACUAAGAAAAGCAGAGACUAGCUCGCCGGCUCGGCGGUGCGUGCGGGGCCGGCCCGGCGAGGAGG
Long non-coding RNA from Dama dama (fallow deer), 986 nucleotides. RefSeq lists it as uncharacterized. The record is from RefSeq and is a predicted model, not a curated record. The transcript has 4 exons. NCBI's taxonomy places the organism in Eukaryota, Metazoa, Chordata, Mammalia, Artiodactyla, Cervidae.